GUACAAUCACAUAUUAUCAAUCAUAAAUUAACAACUUUUUAGAUCAUAUAUUAUUUUUUUUUAUCACAAUUUAUCUUUUUUAUUGAUCAUGUAUCGUUUAUUGGUCAAGUCAAUCAAAUAAUUUGCGACCGCCAUCUCCAGCACCACAAUUACCAUCUUCUCAGCUACCACAUCCACGAAGGUAUCAACACACCAUCUCACCACCACUGAAAAUCGCCACAAAAACUGCCAUCAACACAUCACUAUUGCUACUUUUCAUCGCCGUUGCCACAAUUUCUCUUUGUCUUUUACCAAAAAUUCCAUCAUUUUCACCACCCGUCGUUGUCAACACUACCACCAGUGUAGACACCAACAGUAAAACAAUCACUACAAAAAUAAAAUCCUUAUAAAGCAUUUACCAUAUGUGGAAAAAAAAUUAAAAGAAAUCAAGACCAAGAUAUAUGAUAAUGGCAGUGGAUCCAGAUCCACUUCUCGAUAGUGUGAAAACAGAGAUAAUAGUUUGUGGACAAUGAUUGUUGGUGAUUUAGAGAUGUUGGUGGACGAUUAUGGUUAGUGAUAGCGGGAUGGUAAGUCGGUGGAGAUCUAAGCACCGGCGAUAGAGGUAAGUCGUCGAAGAGCUACACAAUUCCGAUGGAGGUCAGUCGCUGGAAUGAAGAGAGAAGGAAGAGAUAGAGAACAGGAAUGGGAAACUGAUUAGGGUUAAUGGUGGAGGUUGG
Molecule: long non-coding RNA, 716 nt
Filed under: Olea europaea subsp. europaea
Lineage: Eukaryota; Viridiplantae; Streptophyta; Magnoliopsida; Lamiales; Oleaceae
Source: RNAcentral